RNAcentral lists this transfer RNA (77 nucleotides) under Oxalobacter formigenes. RNAcentral's name for it is "tRNA-Ile". It matches the Rfam family "tRNA". From Rfam's summary of the family: Transfer RNA (tRNA) molecules are approximately 80 nucleotides in length. Their secondary structure includes four short double-helical elements and three loops (D, anti-codon, and T loops). Lineage: Bacteria; Pseudomonadati; Pseudomonadota; Betaproteobacteria; Burkholderiales; Oxalobacteraceae. The record is from RNAcentral. RNAcentral also lists the same sequence under 52 other names.
GGGCCUAUAGCUCAGUUGGUUAGAGCAGAGGACUCAUAAUCCUUUGGUCCCAGGUUCAAGUCCUGGUGGGCCCACCA